AGUGAACGCUGGCGGUAGGCCUAACACAUGCAAGUCGAACGGCAGCACAGUAAGAGCUUGCUCUUACGGGUGGCGAGUGGCGGACGGGUGAGGAAUACAUCGGAAUCUACUUUUUCGUUGGGGAUAACGUAGGGAAACUUACGCUAAUACCGCAUACGACCUACGGGUGAAAGCAGGGGAUCUUCGGACCUUGCGCGAUUGAAUGAGCCGAUGUCGGAUUAGCUAGUUGGCGGGGUAAAGGCCCACCAAGGCCACGAUCCGUAGCUGGUCUGAGAGGAUGAUCAGCCACACGGGAACUGAGACACGGUCCAGACUCCUACGGGAGGCAGCAGUGGGGAAUAUUGGGCGAUGGGCGCAAGCCUGAUCCAGCCAUACCGCGUGGGUGAAGAAGGACUUCGGGUUGUAAAGCCCUUUUGUUGGGAAAGAAAAGCAGCAGGUUAAUACCCCGCUGUUCUGACGGUACCCAAAGAAUAAGCACCGGCUAACUUCGUG
Molecule: ribosomal RNA, 492 nt
Filed under: uncultured bacterium
Lineage: Bacteria
Description: partial 16S ribosomal RNA
Rfam family: Bacterial small subunit ribosomal RNA
Source: RNAcentral